Molecule: long non-coding RNA, 408 nt
Filed under: Gallus gallus (chicken)
Lineage: Eukaryota; Metazoa; Chordata; Aves; Galliformes; Phasianidae
Description: lncRNA (ENSGALG00010014048.1)
Source: RNAcentral
CGGGGAAUAAGGGAAAGGAGAGGAAAGGAAGGAGGCUUUUAAUUUAGUUUGGUGAUGUCUACAAAUGCAGCGUCAGAAGAUGAAGCAACAUCGGCUGCAUCGGGAGGAGUAAAGGAAAUGCUUUUAGUUCCAUUUUCAAAUCCUAAGGCUUAUGAAGUGACAAAUGCUUGGAAGUACACAUUAGAGCAGGACGUGAACACUGAGAAAGUGAAAGAAAUUCACUACAUAUCGACUUGUAAAAAAUCUCACAAUCUUUAAGAUGCUGUGUUUUCAUAUCAAGAUACAGAGAAUCUAGAAAUGAAGAAAGUUUCCAGGAGAUAUUUUUCUGCUACGGGAACAACAGGUAAUCCGGUGCUUAGAUGAAAGCAGUUAGUUGAUGUGUUUUGCCAUACGUAUGUUCAUUGGUCA